This 97-nucleotide small RNA is filed under the name Enterobacter hormaechei. Its description in RNAcentral is "isrI". It matches the Rfam family "isrI Hfq binding RNA". The record is from RNAcentral. Lineage: Bacteria; Pseudomonadati; Pseudomonadota; Gammaproteobacteria; Enterobacterales; Enterobacteriaceae.
AUAACUGGUGUCUGGCAUCUGACGCAGAGAGAGGACAUUUGUCACAACGGAGAGGCAGAGGUGAUUGAAGGCCUUCUGCCUGAACCAUUUAAAUGAA